AUUGAACGCUGGCGGCAUGCCUUACACAUGCAAGUCGAACGGCAGCACGGGUGCUUGCACCUGGUGGCGAGUGGCGAACGGGUGAGUAAUACAUCGGAACGUACCUUAUCGUGGGGGAUAACGCAGCGAAAGCUGUGCUAAUACCGCAUACGCCCUGAGGGGGAAAGCGGGGGAUCGCAAGACCUCGCGCGAUUAGAGCGGCCGAUGCCUGAUUAGCUUGUUGGUGGGGUAAAAGCCCACCAAGGCGACGAUCAGUAGCUGGUCUGAGAGGGCGAUCAGCCACACUGGGACUGAGACACGGCCCAGACUCCUACGGGAGGCAGCAGUGGGAAUUUUGGACAAUGGGGGCAACCCUGAUCCAGCAAUGCCGCGUGAGUGAAGAAGGCCUUCGGGUUGUAAAGCUCUUUUGUCAGGGAAGAAACACCGGCUCUAACACAGUCCGGGAAUGACGGUACCUGAAGAAUAAGCACCGGCUAACUACGUGCCAGCCGCCGCAGUAA
This 500-nucleotide ribosomal RNA is filed under the name uncultured bacterium. Its description in RNAcentral is "partial 16S ribosomal RNA". It matches the Rfam family "Bacterial small subunit ribosomal RNA", at positions 29 to 523 of the family's 1533-position model. The record is from RNAcentral.